AUACCAUGGUGGGGACACUUUCUCAACAAGUCUUUAAAUCUCUCCCAAUCAUCAUAAAGAGACUCACCCUCCAACUAUUAAAAAUUGUUGAUCUCUCCUCUCAACUU
Molecule: small nucleolar RNA, 107 nt
Organism: Humulus lupulus (European hop)
Lineage: Eukaryota; Viridiplantae; Streptophyta; Magnoliopsida; Rosales; Cannabaceae
Source: RefSeq, a predicted model, not a curated record